Long non-coding RNA from Leopardus geoffroyi (Geoffroy's cat), 650 nucleotides. RefSeq lists it as uncharacterized. The record is from RefSeq and is a predicted model, not a curated record. The transcript has 3 exons. Lineage: Eukaryota; Metazoa; Chordata; Mammalia; Carnivora; Felidae.
UGACUUGAGUUCAGACCUGUGCUAAUGCGAUAAGCCUGGUGACAAAUGAUGGCUUGGACUGGGUAGUGGCAGUGAGAGUAGUGAGGAGUUGGACAUGAGCAGCUGAAUUUAGGCUAGGAGAUUGAGUUGGGGGGGAUCCUAACACCAUCUCAAGAUGCAGGGCCCCACAGUUCGUGAGAAAUCAUUGGAGGAAGAAACUUUUUGGGGAGUAGUAUCUGGAUCAUGGUCAUGUUUGAGACAAUGUUGGGACUGGAACUUGGAUUAGGAUCUGAUCUGGGGCCAGUAAGAGGGUCAGAGUGAGAUUCAUUGGUCUCUGAGAAGAUCAGAGUUGGAUUCUGGGUCUUAGGAGCAUUAUAGCGAUUUUAGGGUGAGGACUAGUUUGGGGUCAAAGUUGUUGAUGGAGGCCAGUAUACUUUUUCUGCAUCUUCCCAUCAUACCAGGGUUGGUUGUACCCACCAUGUCCUGUCCCAUGGAGUUCACCUAAGGAAUUAGAGGAGUAUGGAGGCUCUAGGAUCUUCUUUUCCUUGGGUGUCAUGGAGCUGGAUACAGGCUCAGCCCUGCCUGGGUGAAGCCUGCUGGCCUUCCUAAGCUGGGACCUGUAGUCAGGGAAGGGUGGAAAGGGUCCUCAGUGCUUGACUUAGGUCCUUUCU